UACAGAGACUGCAAGCGUUCUUCGGAUUCACUGGGCGUAAAGGGUGCGCAGGCGGCCAAGUGUGUGAGGCGUGAAAGCCCGAAGCUUAACUUCGGAAUUGCACCUCAAACUACAUGGCUAGAGCAUUGGAGAGGGUAGCGGAAUUCACGGUGUAGCAGUGAAAUGCGUAGAUAUCGUGAGGAACACCAGAGGCGAAGGCGGCUACCUGGACAAUUGCUGACGCUCAGGCACGAAAGCGUGGGGAGCAAAAGGG
Molecule: ribosomal RNA, 253 nt
Filed under: uncultured bacterium
Lineage: Bacteria
Description: partial 16S ribosomal RNA
Rfam family: Bacterial small subunit ribosomal RNA
Source: RNAcentral